AGUGAACGCUGGCGGUAGGCCUAACACAUGCAAGUCGAACGGCAGCACAGUAAGAGCUUGCUCUUACGGGUGGCGAGUGGCGGACGGGUGAGGAAUACAUCGGAAUCUACUUUUUCGUGGGGGAUAACGUAGGGAAACUUACGCUAAUACCGCAUACGACCUACGGGUGAAAGCAGGGGAUCUUCGGACCUUGCGCGAUUGAAUGAGCCGAUGUGGGUUUAGCUAGUUGGCGGGGUAAAGGCCCACCAAGGCGACGAUCCGUAGCUGGUCUGAGAGGAUGUUCAGCGACACGGAAGCUGAGACACGACCCAGCCACCGAGGGGAGGCACAGGUGGGUAAUUUUGGCAACUGGGGGGAAGCUUGCACAAGCCGUCCGGGGUGGAUGAAGAAGGCCUUCGGGUUGUAAAGCCCUUUUGUUGGGAAAGAAAGCAGCAGGUUAAUACCCCGCUGUUCUGACGGUACCCAAAGAAUAAGCACCGGCUAACUUCGUG
This 491-nucleotide ribosomal RNA is filed under the name uncultured bacterium. RNAcentral describes it as "partial 16S ribosomal RNA". It matches the Rfam family "Bacterial small subunit ribosomal RNA", at positions 29 to 507 of the family's 1533-position model. The record is from RNAcentral.